This 284-nucleotide long non-coding RNA is filed under the name Panax ginseng (ginseng). RNAcentral describes it as "long non-coding RNA (PGIN_LNC007184)". The record is from RNAcentral. Lineage: Eukaryota; Viridiplantae; Streptophyta; Magnoliopsida; Apiales; Araliaceae.
UCCACAGAAACGGCUGGAACUAAAAUUAAAAUUUCGCGACGUAUGGAUUCUAAUUUUUGGGAUAAAAUAGAGUUUGUCAAAGGAAUAGGAGUUGGCUAGGGUUAAGAGGAUAGGGGAGAAUUGGAAUUGCAGAAGCGAUGAUUCUCCGGAAAAUUAGGGGAAGGAAAAUGAUAAAGAAAUGAAAUUUGGAGAAAGGAAAAGAAACAUAAAUGCAUAUACAUAUAUAUUACAUACAGAGAGCGAGAGAGAGAGAGGCAGUUUGUUUGGUCUGAGUUGGAGGUGUU